RNAcentral lists this non-coding RNA (27 nucleotides) under Homo sapiens (human). The record is from RNAcentral. Lineage: Eukaryota; Metazoa; Chordata; Mammalia; Primates; Hominidae.
CUCCAGCUCCUGUACUCGACUCAUGCU